GAGCGAACAGGGAAGAGCCCAGCACCGAAUCUCCCGUUCGUAGGGGCGGCGAGAAAUGUGGUGUUAGGGAGCGGCCGUUCCCGUCGCGCGCUGGCUCGUUCCAAGUCCUCUUGAAUGGGGCCACGGCCCGUAGAGGGUGCCAGGCCCGUAGUGGACGAUGUGCGCGCGCGGGGGGCUCGUCUCCUCAGAGUCGGGUUGCUUGAGAUCGCAGCCCUAAGCAGGUGGUAAACUCCAUCUAAGGCUAAAUACUACCACGAGACCGAUAGCGAACAAGUACCGUGAGGGAAAGUUGAAAAGAACUUGAGAGAGAGUUCAAGAGUACGUGAAACCGCCCAAGGGGAAACGGAAGGUAACUGAGCAAACUAGGCCGGGGAAACUCAUCACCGCCCGCGCGCACGCUCGAGCUACCCGACCGCCGCGUGACCGCAGACUUGCUUUUUAGCUUUCUCGUCGGUCCUCCGCGGAGCCCGGUCGGGCGAAUCCUGCUCUGAGCGGGGGAAACGGAACCCCCGCGAGUCUGCGCGUCGGCGGUGUGCACUUUUCCUUCGCCAUAGUGCGUCGCGAUCCGUUGGUCGGCGACCAAGGGCCCGGGGUUAUUAUCCGCGCGCGUCGCCGGCGUUCUGCGCCGGGUCCGCGCGCGGAGUCCCCGGUGUGCGGUAGCGCGGCAGCUUACGACGCGCCGAGUUCGCGCCGCUUUCCCGGUCGCCGUGUAAGACCGCCCUGUAGCGGGGCGGCAGUUACGACGGUCAUGAAAUACGUGGAAGACGUCCCGACCUUCACCGGCGGGCCUCUCCGGACCUUGGCUUCGGCUCUUCACAAGCGUGGGACGCGGUGGUAAGCUAGCGCGCGGCGGGCGUCCCGCUAGGGAACGACCUCGCGCGCAUCCCAUCGACACGUCCACGCGGUGACAGGAGAGGGGGGAUUGAGGGAAACGAGUACCUCUCCUUGGAUCAAUCGGCGGCGUAAGUCUCAGUCUACUUUCCGACCCGUCUUGAAACACGGACCAAGGAGUCUAACAUGUGCGCGAGUCAAUGGGAAUUCCUAAACCCAAAGGCGCAAUGAAAGUGAAGCAGGGCGGCGUCGGUUGACCACCGCGCCCGCCCGGCGAGGGAGGAUGGCACGGGGCGCGACGUUCCCUCCGCGGAGGGGCGCGCGCUUACACACUCCGGCCCGCACUCCCGGGGCGUCGUUCGCGGCGCACCUAGAGCGCACACGUUGGUACCCGAAAGAUGGUGAACUAUGCCUGGCCAGGACGAAGCCAGGGGAAACCCUGGUGGAGGUCCGUAGCGAUUCUGACGUGCAAAUCGAUCGUCUGAGCUGGGUAUAGGGGCGAAAGACUAAUCGAACCAUCUAGUAGCUGGUUCCCUCCGAAGUUUCCCUCAGGAUAGCUGGCACUCGGAGACUAGAAAGAAAGAAACCAUGUGAACGAAUCUCAUUCGGUAAAGCGAAUGAUUAGAGGCCUUAGGGUCGAAACGGCCUUAACCUAUUCUCAAACUUUAAAUGGGUGAGAACGCCGGCAUCCUUGAAACAAUGCUUAUAUGAUUUGAUGCCGGCGAGUGGAUCGUGAGUGUCCAGUGGGCCAUUUUUGGUAAGCAGAACUGGCGCUGUGGGAUGAACCAAACGUAGAGUUAAGGCGCCUAAAUCGACGCUUAKGGGAUACCAYGAAGGGCGUUGUUUGCUUAAGACAGCUGGGCGGUGGCCAUGGAAGUCGGAAUCCGCUAAGGAGUGUGUAACAACUCACCAGCCGAAGCAACUAGCCCUGAAAAUGGAUGGCGCUGAAGCGUCGUGCCUAUACUUUACCGCCGGCGGCAAGGAGAGGGCGCCCGCACGUCCCGCGUCGGGUGCAGCGCGCGACGCCUAACCAGCAAGCGCGUUGCAGGAUGCCCUGUUAAGCCCCGGUGAGUAGGAGGGUCGCGACGGUGAGCGCAGAAGGGUUGGGCGCGAGCCUGCCUGGAGCCGCCGUCGGCGCAGAUCUUGGUAGUAGUAGCAAAUACUCUAGCGAGACCCUGGAGGGCUGAUGUGGAGAAGGGUUUCGUGUGAACAGCCGUUGCACACGAGUCAGUYGAUCCUAAGCCCUAGGGGAAACCCGAUGUAGAUGCCGGCCUCUGAUCUUAAAACCAGGUGCAAAGCGCAGCUGUAAUGGCGGCUUUGAAAAAGCACUCGUGGCCGCGYGUCGGGCGAAAGGGAAUCCGGUCCCCAUUCCGGAACCCGGUCGCGGAACGUCUCACGUCGGGCCCUGCGCCGAAAGGUGCAAGCUCGUCGGGGUAACCCAACAUGACCCGGAGAAGCCGUCGGGAGGUCUGGGAAGAGUUUUCUUUUCUGUUUGAGCGUUCGGGUUCCCUGGAAUUGYCUAGCGCRGAGAGAGGGAAUGGAACGCGWAGAGCACC
Molecule: ribosomal RNA, 2387 nt
Filed under: Modicogryllus volivoli
Lineage: Eukaryota; Metazoa; Arthropoda; Insecta; Orthoptera; Gryllidae
Description: eukaryotic LSU rRNA
Rfam family: Eukaryotic large subunit ribosomal RNA
Source: RNAcentral